GACAUACGCUUAGUCAGCAAGGG
This 23-nucleotide non-coding RNA is filed under the name Arabidopsis thaliana (thale cress). The record is from RNAcentral. Lineage: Eukaryota; Viridiplantae; Streptophyta; Magnoliopsida; Brassicales; Brassicaceae.